This 71-nucleotide transfer RNA is filed under the name Marmota monax (woodchuck). RNAcentral's name for it is "tRNA.Ala". It matches the Rfam family "tRNA". From Rfam's summary of the family: Transfer RNA (tRNA) molecules are approximately 80 nucleotides in length. Their secondary structure includes four short double-helical elements and three loops (D, anti-codon, and T loops). The record is from RNAcentral. Lineage: Eukaryota; Metazoa; Chordata; Mammalia; Rodentia; Sciuridae.
GGGGUUGUGGCUCAGUGGUAGAGUACUCGCCUAGCACGUGGGAGGCUCAGGGUUCAAUCCUCAGCACCACA